UGGACUUCUUAGGGAACCAUCACUCAGCCCACCACAUCUGCAUAUGUUGAAGUCAUCAAGAUCAAGGAGACAGCACUGCUGGAGAGCAAGCCAGUGAACCAGGAGCUACAAGAGUCAGGAUUGAGCCGGGCAUGGUGGCUUACACCUGUAAUCCCAGCACUUUGGGAGGCCGAGGCAGGCAGAUCACAAGAUUGUUGCUUUCAAGGGGCUGGAGAGAGAAGUUGCAGGGAGAACAGAAACCUCAGAGAGAGCUGGAGCUCCUGCGUCCUGCUCCAGCCUGGGUGACAGAGCACAACCCGAUCUCUCAAAAUAAAUACAUAAUUCUCAAAUGUUAGUAAAAGGGUAGUGAAC
RNAcentral lists this long non-coding RNA (351 nucleotides) under Callithrix jacchus (white-tufted-ear marmoset). RNAcentral's name for it is "lncRNA (ENSCJAG00000076359.1)". The record is from RNAcentral. Lineage: Eukaryota; Metazoa; Chordata; Mammalia; Primates; Cebidae.